Molecule: long non-coding RNA, 2820 nt
Filed under: Anser brachyrhynchus (Pink-footed goose)
Lineage: Eukaryota; Metazoa; Chordata; Aves; Anseriformes; Anatidae
Description: lncRNA (ENSABRG00000022622.1)
Source: RNAcentral
CCUGUACUUGCCCCCCCGGCAGGGCCUCGCGGCACCCUGGGGGUCUCAGGGGGGCUCCGCUGCCCACCCCCAGCCCAUUGGCAGGGUGCCUGUGGUGGGCACAGCCCCAGGCACUGGGCAGCACGGGUGUCUGCUGGUCUGCGGUGGGGACCCUUGGGGAUUGGGGGUCCCUUUGGCUAUGGGGCAGGGCCUUCCUCCCCCGUGCCCAGGGGGUGCCACUGAAGGGGCACCGGUCCCCAGAGGCCAGCGCCAGGGGGUCCUGGGGGGGGCUGAAUCAGGGCCGGGACUGCCGGGGCCGUGGGUGCUGCUGGAGCUGGCAGGAGCUGGGCUGCGGGCAUGGAGCUACUGCCUGGGGACGUAUUUGUCCAGGGGACACCCCAGAGCAGUGCCAGGGGUGGGGACAUGGGGGAUGUGGGGGACAUGGGGGAUGUAGGGGACAAAGAGGGUGCAGGGGACAGGGGCAUGGGGGGGCUCCUUGCAAGACGUGAGGGAUCUGGGGACAUGAGCAAUGUCGGGGUGCUGGGGCCAUGAAGGAUACAGGGGACGGGGCUGCGCAUUGGAGCAGCCUGCAGACAGUGGGUGCAGGGGACACGGGGGUGGGGGUGAAAGGGGCUGUAGGGGACACGGGCAAUGUAGGGGACACGGGGCCAUGUGGUGCAGCUGCUGGACACGGGAUACAGGGGGUCUGGGGGCCCCAGGGGAUGUUGGGGGGGGGCACAGGGGGCAUGGCACGGGGCAGGUAGCACAGCCAGGGGAUGGCCGCACCGCACCCUCCCGGUGCCAGGAUCCGGUCCCAUGCAGCCGUGCCACAGGCAGGGUCCCUGUCCCGGGGGGCAUUCGGAGGUGGGGGAGCGCAGGGGCCAGGGGAGUGCCUGCAGCUGGGGGAUCCCCGACGCGGCCCCCGCGAGGGUUAAGGCUCCGCGGCAGAGCUGGAGGCGUCCCCGCCGGCCGCAGUGAGUCAGCGGGGAGAGGCCGCACAUCUGGAUCUGUCCUGCAGCAGCCGGACGGGGCCGCGAAUUCCCGGGGCUCGCGCAUGGCCCCGCCGAGCCCGGGGACGCCGGGGGACCCCGCGUGGCUGUGGGCGCUUUGGGUGCUGGCGUCGGUGCUGGGCCCCCUCUGCCUCUGGGCGCUCUUCGUGCUGCGGUGCCCGCGCCCCCCGGGGAAGCAGUUGGGAAGCGCGACGCCGCCGGCAGCCUCGCAGCGGGGCCGCGGGAGGGGCCCGAAGCAGCGCCCGGAGCCUGCUGGGGGACAGCGGCCGGCGGGGACCAGGACGAGGACGAGGACGGGCAGCAGCCACCGGACACACACAGUGGAGCUGAGGCCGGCGGGGUGCCGGCAGCCGGCGGAGAUGGCGGAGGAGAGCUCGAGCGGCAGCAGCAGCUCCCCGAGCCCCGGGGACACCCUGCCCUGGAACCUGGCCAAGCACCAGCGCACCAAACGCACCAAGGCGACCGCGGGCAACGGGACGGUGCUGGACCCUGCCGAGCGGGCGGUGAUCAGGAUCGCAGGUAGGGCCGGCAGCACGGGCGGCACCGUCUCGGGGCAGUGCCCGUGGGGGUCCGGGGAGGGCUCGGCCCCAUCGGGGACCCGGUAUUGUCGUGGCGGGGUCUGGUCGCGCUGUCCGAUGCACCCAGCUGCUCGCAGGGACCGCUGGCGAUUGUGGCCGUGCCAGGCUGCGCCGUUGCACACGUGCGUGGUGGUUGUGCCCAGCACGGGGCAAGCCCCUGUGGCCGGUGCCAGGAGGCCUGGCUGUGCCGCAGCAUGCGGCGGUGCCACGGGGCGAUGCCGCGGGGUGUCUGGGGGCGAUGCCGCGGGAGGUUCCGGCAGAGCCCCGAGGAUGGUUAGGGGAGCGGGGCAUCUCCCUUAGAGGGGAGGCUGAGGGAGCUGGGGCUCUGUAGGGUGGGGAAGAGGAGUCCGAGGGGUGACCUCGUUAACGUUUAUAAAUACGUAAAGGGUGAGCGUCAGGAGGACGGAGCCAGGCUCUUCUCGGUGACACCCGAUGACAGGACAAGGGGCAGCGGGUGCAAGCUGGAACACAGGAGGUGCAGCUUAAAUAUGAGAUGAAACUUUUUUACGGUGAGGGUGACAGAACAUGGAACAGGCUGCCCAGGGGGUUGUGGGGUCUGCUCCUCUUCGCCUGGACGCGAUCCUGUGUGACCUGACCCAGGUGUUCCUGCUCCGGCAGGGGGAUGGGACCGGCUGAUCUUCCAGGGUCCCUUCCAGUCCCUGACGUUCGGUGACUCUCUGUGGUACCGCUGACACCGGCAGCACCGGGCUGGGGAGCAGGGGGACGAUGCCGCGGCUCGGAGCUGCGCCGUGCCGUACCGCAGGCACUGCGGUCCCUGCGCCCUGUCGGGGUGGCCGAGCUGUGCCACGUCCCCUGUGCCACGACAGCGUGUCGCGGUGGCCGUCCCAUGCUGUUGCUGUGGCCAUGUCGUGUCACGGUGACCGUGCUGUGCCCCCUGUGCCGUGCUGUCACGGUGGCCGUGCUGCAUUGUGCUGGUUUUGCCAUGCCCCACUUGCUGUGUCACAGUGACCAUGCCGUGCCCCCUGUGCCAUGCUGUUGUUGUGACCGUGCGGUGCCCCCCGUGCCGUGCUGUCACGGUGGCCGUGCUGUGCCCCAUGUGCCGUGCUGUCACAGUGACUGUGCCGUGCCCACCGUGCUGUGUCAGUGAGCACACCGUGCCCCCCGUGUCGUGCUGUUGGUGUGGCCAUGCCAUGCCACCCGUGCUGUGCUGUCACGGUGGCCGUGCCGUGCCCCGUGUGCCAUGUCACAGUGUCGCCGUGGCUGUGCCAUGCCCCCUGUGCCCUGCUGUUGGU